This is a long non-coding RNA of Brassica oleracea var. oleracea, 546 nucleotides long. RefSeq lists it as uncharacterized. The transcript has 3 exons. The record is from RefSeq and is a predicted model, not a curated record. NCBI's taxonomy places the organism in Eukaryota, Viridiplantae, Streptophyta, Magnoliopsida, Brassicales, Brassicaceae.
GGAUCUGGUUUGUUUUUUUCGAGUUUGGUUUCGUUAACGCGUGAAACAUAGCUUUUGUUGGUUCAUCCGAGAUUAGGGGUUCAUCGUUCCCUUCCUUCCUUACAGAACUCAAACCGCCAUUUUAUCAUUUCAUGAUCUGGAAAACUACCUCUUCUCUUCUCAUCUCUAAACCUCCCCUGACGUUAUCUCUUCACCUCCUCUGAGAUAUGAGCGACUUGUGAGGAUGAUUGACCCUCAGAACCACCGUUAGUUUAUCAGAGAUGGCUUCCUCCGAUAUUGUUCUCGUGCACUCCACCUUCGACGCUCUCCUACUCGGUAGAUCUGCCCAGACCAUUGGUUGUCGUCGCCUCCAUUUUUGGACUCGAAAAACAUCAAGAAGCAAGGUGAAUUCAUGGGAAUUACUCUACUCCUCCUUUAUGAGAAGAAAUCGGAGAUACAUGGGUUCAUUCUUGCUGGUCGAGCCCCUUAUUACCAUCCGUCUUUACGAGCAGGUUCAGUCGUGAGAGUCUCAGGAUAUGAAGUUGCAAGAUGUACAAAUAUGUAAAA